Molecule: transfer RNA, 73 nt
Filed under: Ornithorhynchus anatinus (platypus)
Lineage: Eukaryota; Metazoa; Chordata; Mammalia; Monotremata; Ornithorhynchidae
Rfam family: tRNA
About the family: Transfer RNA (tRNA) molecules are approximately 80 nucleotides in length. Their secondary structure includes four short double-helical elements and three loops (D, anti-codon, and T loops).
Source: Rfam by way of RNAcentral
GGUAGCGUGGCUUAGUGGAUAGAGCAUGGGCCUGGAAAUCAGAAGGACCUGGGUUCUAAUCCCAACUCUGCCG